RNAcentral lists this ribosomal RNA (253 nucleotides) under uncultured bacterium. RNAcentral describes it as "partial 16S ribosomal RNA". It matches the Rfam family "Archaeal small subunit ribosomal RNA", at positions 474 to 727 of the family's 1478-position model. The record is from RNAcentral.
UACCAGCACCCCGAGUGGUCGGGACGUUUAUUGGGCCUAAAGCAUCCGUAGCCGGUUCUACAAGUCUUCCGUUAAAUCCACCUGCUCAACAGAUGGGCUGCGGAAGAUACUAUGGAGCUAGGAGGCGGGAGAGGCAAGCGGUACUCGAUGGGUAGGGGUAAAAUCCGUUGAUCCAUUGAAGACCACCAGUGGCGAAGGCGGCUUGCCAGAACGCGCUCGACGGUGAGGGAUGAAAGCUGGGGGAGCAAAUGGG